This 468-nucleotide ribosomal RNA is filed under the name uncultured bacterium. RNAcentral's name for it is "partial 16S ribosomal RNA". It matches the Rfam family "Bacterial small subunit ribosomal RNA", at positions 28 to 507 of the family's 1533-position model. The record is from RNAcentral.
GACGAACGCUGGCGGCGUGCUUAACACAUGCAAGUCGAACGGAAAGGCCCUGCUUUUGUGGGGUGCUCGAGUGGCGAACGGGUGAGUAACACGUGAGUAACCUGCCCUUGACUUUGGGAUAACUUCAGGAAACUGGGGCUAAUACCGGAUAGGAGCUCCUGCUGCAUGGUGGGGGUUGGAAAGUUUCGGCGGUUGGGGAUGGACUCGCGGGUUAUCAGCUUGUUGGUGGGGUAGUGGCUUACCAAGGCUUUGACGGGUAGCCGGCCUGAGAGGGUGACCGGCCACAAUGGGACUGAGAUACGGCCCAGACUCCUACGGGAGGCAGCAGUGGGGAAUAUUGCACAAUGGGCGGAAGCCUGAGGCAGCAACGCCGCGUGCGGGAUGACGGCCUUCGGGUUGUAAACCGCUUUCGCCUGUGACGAAGCGUGAGUGACGGUAAUGGGUAAAGAAGCACCGGCUAACUACGUG